GCACUGCUGAGGAGUCCCACAAUAAGACGAAGUAGCUGUCCAGUGC
Molecule: non-coding RNA, 46 nt
Organism: Schistosoma curassoni
Lineage: Eukaryota; Metazoa; Platyhelminthes; Trematoda; Strigeidida; Schistosomatidae
Source: Rfam